RNAcentral lists this small nuclear RNA (290 nucleotides) under Piliocolobus tephrosceles (Ugandan red Colobus). RNAcentral describes it as "7SK RNA (ENSPTEG00000039504.1)". It matches the Rfam family "7SK RNA". From Rfam's summary of the family: 7SK was discovered as an abundant small nuclear RNA in the mid-70s but a possible function has only recently been suggested. Two independent studies have found that 7SK RNA binds the CDK9/cyclin T complex (known as elongation factor P-TEFb). Lineage: Eukaryota; Metazoa; Chordata; Mammalia; Primates; Cercopithecidae. The record is from RNAcentral.
GAAUGUAGGGGUGAUAUGACUGUGACUUCUGUCACCCCAUUGAUUACUAGGGUUGAUUGGGCUAAUCUGGUUGGCUAGGUGGGUGUCUCCUUCCUCCCUCACCUCUCCAUGUGCGUCCCUUCUGAAGCUGUGUGCUCAGUUGAAGAGGAUGGACAUCCCUGAUAGAGGAGGACUGGUCUUUGGUCAAGGGUAUACAAGUACUGUGCUCCCCUGCUAGAACUUCCAAACAAGCUCCCAAGUAGCUAGGACUAGAGGUGUGCACCACCACGCCCAGCUAAUUUUUUAUCUUU